CAUGCAAGUCGAACGAGAAAGCGGGCUUCGGCCCGUGAGUACAGUGGCAGACGGGGGAGUAAUACGUGGGUAACCUGCCCGGAGGGGGGGGAUAACCUUUUUAACGGAGGGCUAAUACCGCAUAACAUCUCGAGGUCUUCGGACUUCGAGAUCAAAGCUAGCCUCUACUUUUAAGCUAGUACCACCGGAGGGACUCGCGCUCCAUUAGCUUGAUGGGGAGGUAACGGCUCACCAUGGCGACGAUGGAUAGCCGGCCUGAGAGGGCGAUCGGCCACACUGGAACUGAGACACGGUCCAGACUCCUACGGGAGGCAGCAGUGAGGAAUCUUGCGCAAUGGGCGAAAGCCUGACGCAGCGACGCCGCGUGGAGGACGAAGGCCUUCGGGUCGUAAACUCCUGUCAAGAGGGACGAAUGCUGCAGGGAUGAAUAAGCCCUGCAGUUGACGGUACCUCUGAAGGAAGCCCCGGCUAACUCCGUGCCAGCAGCCGCGGUAAUACGGAGGGGGCAAGCGUUUUUCGGAAUUAUUGGGCGUAAAGGGCGCGUAGGCGGCCUGGUAAGUCAGUUUUGAAAGCCCUCGGCUCAACCGAGGAAUUGCGACUGAUACUGCCGGGCUUGAGUCCUGGAGAGGGUAGUGGAAUUCCCAGUGUAGCGGGGAAAUGCGUAGAUACUGGGAGGAACACCGGGGGCGAAGGCGACUACCUGGACAGGUACUGACGCUGAGGCGCGAAAGCGUGGGGAGCAAACAGGAUUAGAUACCCUGGUAGUCCACGCCGUAGGU
RNAcentral lists this ribosomal RNA (779 nucleotides) under uncultured Acidobacteriota bacterium. Its description in RNAcentral is "bacterial SSU rRNA". It matches the Rfam family "Bacterial small subunit ribosomal RNA", at positions 54 to 807 of the family's 1533-position model. The record is from RNAcentral. Lineage: Bacteria; Pseudomonadati; Acidobacteriota.